ACGCUCGACACCUACGAGAGGCAGCAGUGGGGAAUAUUGCACAAUGGGGGAAACCCUGAUGCAGCGACGCCGCGUGAGUGAAGAAGUAUUUCGGUAUGUAAAGCUCUAUCAGCAGGGAAGAAAAUGACGGUACCUGACUAAGAAGCCCCGGCUAACUACGUGGCAGCAGCCGCGGUAAUCUGAGCGGGCUGGCAAGGC
Molecule: ribosomal RNA, 198 nt
Filed under: uncultured bacterium
Lineage: Bacteria
Description: partial 16S ribosomal RNA
Rfam family: Bacterial small subunit ribosomal RNA
Source: RNAcentral